This is a long non-coding RNA of Gymnodraco acuticeps, 302 nucleotides long. RefSeq lists it as uncharacterized. The record is from RefSeq and is a predicted model, not a curated record. Lineage: Eukaryota; Metazoa; Chordata; Actinopteri; Perciformes; Bathydraconidae. The transcript has 3 exons.
CCCUCCAGAAAAGAAAAGAAAAAGCAGACCUCUUUCUAAUCCAGUGGUCACACGCAGACGUGAGAGACAACGGGAAACACAACGCCCUGCAUCAGAUUGAUUGAAGGGUUAAGCAAAAAUGAAGUCUCUGCAGCUUCACAAGACAGAAGAGACGAUCCUGUGCAUGAGGAAGGCCUUCAGCUAGAACAUCAAGAGUUUGGUAGUCUUGAAACUCAUCUCCAAGAGUUAAGGGACACCCUAACUGCAGUCCAGGUUCCGGAGGCAACAGACGGAACGGUUUCUCUGCCUGGGCACAAAGGCAG